Molecule: ribosomal RNA, 253 nt
Filed under: uncultured bacterium
Lineage: Bacteria
Description: partial 16S ribosomal RNA
Rfam family: Bacterial small subunit ribosomal RNA
Source: RNAcentral
UACGUAGGUGGCAAGCGUUGUCCGGAAUUAUUGGGCGUAAAGCGCGCGCAGGUGGUUUCUUAAGUCUGAUGUGAAAGCCCUCGGCUCAACCGGGGAAGUGCACUCGAAACUGCAUGACUAGAGUCUCGGAGAGGAUAGUGGAAUUCUCGGUGUAGAGGUGAAAUUCGUAGAUAUCGAGAGGAACACCGGUGGCGAAGGCGGCUAUCUGGACGAUGACUGACGCUGAGACGCGAAAGCGUGGGGAGCAAACAGG